RNAcentral lists this ribosomal RNA (159 nucleotides) under Ascovirgaria occulta. RNAcentral's name for it is "5.8S ribosomal RNA". The stretch from base 28 to 159 matches the Rfam family "5.8S ribosomal RNA", at positions 1 to 132 of the family's 154-position model. From Rfam's summary of the family: 5.8S ribosomal RNA (5.8S rRNA) is a component of the large subunit of the eukaryotic ribosome. It is transcribed by RNA polymerase I as part of the 45S precursor that also contains 18S and 28S rRNA. Functionally, it is thought that 5.8S rRNA may be involved in ribosome translocation. Lineage: Eukaryota; Fungi; Ascomycota; Sordariomycetes; Xylariales; Xylariaceae. The record is from RNAcentral.
UCUGAGUAAUUAUAUUUAAUAAGUCAAAACUUUCAACAACGGAUCUCUUGGUUCUGGCAUCGAUGAAGAACGCAGCGAAAUGCGAUAAGUAAUGUGAAUUGCAGAAUUCAGUGAAUCAUCGAAUCUUUGAACGCACAUUGCGCCCAUUAGUAUUCUAGU